CAGGCUCUGUGGGACAAGACUGAGGGCAAGAAAACCACUGGGGAAGAAGAUGCAGGAAAGCAGCAAGAGAUGAUGCCAGCCCUAGGUGUGGCAGAGCUUCCACGCAUUGUGAGUCUCUGGACACCGCACCAUUCUUGACCUUUAACUCCAUCCUUACCUCUUCGUUAUGGCCUCUCUAUGUGAAACAAUGGGGUCCAAGCCAAGAAACCUGGAACAAUAAAAAGCCAGUCCAGUCUUCUGUCAUGAUUGUCUGCAAACCUAAUAAAAAUGGAUGCCUUGGGCUCUGGAA
Long non-coding RNA from Lagenorhynchus albirostris (white-beaked dolphin), 289 nucleotides. RefSeq lists it as uncharacterized. Lineage: Eukaryota; Metazoa; Chordata; Mammalia; Artiodactyla; Delphinidae. The record is from RefSeq and is a predicted model, not a curated record. The transcript has 3 exons.